RNAcentral lists this ribosomal RNA (690 nucleotides) under Embleya scabrispora. RNAcentral's name for it is "bacterial SSU rRNA". It matches the Rfam family "Bacterial small subunit ribosomal RNA", at positions 28 to 735 of the family's 1533-position model. The record is from RNAcentral. Lineage: Bacteria; Bacillati; Actinomycetota; Actinomycetes; Kitasatosporales; Streptomycetaceae.
GACGAACGCUGGCGGCGUGCUUAACACAUGCAAGUCGAACGCUGAAGCCCUUCGGGGUGGAUGAGUGGCGAACGGGUGAGUAACACGUGGGCAACCUGCCCUGCACUCUGGGAUAACUUCGGGAAACCGGAGCUAAUACCGGAUAACAUCCUCCUCCGCAUGGUGGGGGGUUGAAAGUUCCGGCGGUGCAGGAUGGGCCCGCGGCCUAUCAGCUUGUUGGUGGGGUAGUGGCCUACCAAGGCGACGACGGGUAGCCGGCCUGAGAGGGCGACCGGCCACACUGGGACUGAGACACGGCCCAGACUCCUACGGGAGGCAGCAGUGGGGAAUAUUGCGCAAUGGGCGAAAGCCUGACGCAGCGACGCCGCGUGAGGGAUGACGGCCUUCGGGUUGUAAACCUCUUUCAGCAGGGAAGAAGCGAAAGUGACGGUACCUGCAGAAGAAGCACCGGCUAACUACGUGCCAGCAGCCGCGGUAAUACGUAGGGUGCGAGCGUUGUCCGGAAUUAUUGGGCGUAAAGAGCUCGUAGGCGGCCUGUCGCGUCGGAUGUGAAAACUCGGGGCUUAACCCCGAGCCUGCAUUCGAUACGGGCAGGCUAGAGUUCGGCAGGGGAGACUGGAAUUCCUGGUGUAGCGGUGAAAUGCGCAGAUAUCAGGAGGAACACCGGUGGCGAAGGCGGGUCUCUGGGCC